CACUCCAGCUGCCAUCACGGCUGUGGUGCAACAUCUGUAGAACCAUCAGCCACAAGGAAUUGCAAGCAUUCCCUGAAAUGAGGAGCAUUAUGAGGAAAAUCAGCACUAGAAAAUAUUCAGCACACAAUAACUGUCAGAGCUGCCUAUGGAAGAUGAUCUUCAUGUCUGCAAUGCCAUCCUUUCCAUGACAUCUCUCUCCUGUGCAAAGGCUGCCCUAUCUCAUGCUGAAAGGAGGAAUAGGAUGGAGGAAGGAGCUGUCCCUCACCCUGUGACCUGCCUGAGCCGGAGCUUCCCUUCUUCCCACAAAUGAGGGACUGAGAGUCCCACCGUCACUGCACCAAUGUAAGAGUGGCUUCUAACAGAGAAGACCCACACUUCUCCUCCAAUCAGAAGUCCUGUUUAAGUCCUCUCAGCUGGCCCUUUUGCAACCUGUUUGCUUCAGUGGAGUAAGUUUACUCCAUUUCGAUUGGAUUGAUUUGCACUGAUGAGAUGUGAGACAAUGGAGAUCACAGCCUUCAGGUUUUUUUUAAUUUCGU
Long non-coding RNA from Centrocercus urophasianus (Greater sage-grouse), 536 nucleotides. RefSeq lists it as uncharacterized. NCBI's taxonomy places the organism in Eukaryota, Metazoa, Chordata, Aves, Galliformes, Phasianidae. The transcript has 3 exons. The record is from RefSeq and is a predicted model, not a curated record.